CGAUAUCGACGAAGUUGAUCAUGGCUCAGAACGAACGCUGGCGGCAGGCCUAACACAUGCAAGUCGAGCGCCCCAGCGAUGGGGAGCGGCGGACGGGUGAGUAACGCGUGGGAACGUGCCUCUUGCUACGGAAUAGCCUCGGGAAACUGGGAGUAAUACCGUAUGUGCCCUACGGGGGAAAGAUUUAUCGGCAAGAGAUCGGCCCGCGUUGGAUUAGGUAGUUGGUGGGGUAAUGGCCUACCAAGCCGACGAUCCAUAGCUGGUUUGAGAGGAUGAUCAGCCAUACUGGGACUGAGACACGGCCCAGACUCCUACGGGAGGCAGCAGUGGGGAAUCUUAGACAAUGGGCGCAAGCCUGAUCUAGCCAUGCCGCGUGAGCGAUGAAGGCCUCAGGGUUGUAAAGCUCUUUCAGUGGGGAAGAUAAUGACUGUACCCACAGAAGAAGCCCCGGNUAACUCCGUG
Molecule: ribosomal RNA, 462 nt
Filed under: uncultured bacterium
Lineage: Bacteria
Description: bacterial SSU rRNA
Rfam family: Bacterial small subunit ribosomal RNA
Source: RNAcentral